RNAcentral lists this microRNA precursor (85 nucleotides) under Cajanus cajan (pigeon pea). RNAcentral's name for it is "miRNA gene-KK1_045041". The record is from RNAcentral. Lineage: Eukaryota; Viridiplantae; Streptophyta; Magnoliopsida; Fabales; Fabaceae.
AUGGCAGAAAGAAAAGUGAGCACGCACCCGCAAAUGUAUGCGUUCAUACAAAUACUAGCAGCGUGUGCUCACUCUCUUCUGUCAA